Molecule: ribosomal RNA, 279 nt
Filed under: uncultured bacterium
Lineage: Bacteria
Description: partial 16S ribosomal RNA
Rfam family: Bacterial small subunit ribosomal RNA
Source: RNAcentral
UGCCAGCAGCCGCGGUAAUACGGAGGGUGCAAACGUUGCUCGGAAUCACUGGGCGUAAAGCGCGCGUAGGCGGUCAGUCAAGUUGGAUGUGAAAGCCCUGGGCUCAACCUGGGAAGUGCAUCCAAAACUGGUUGACUCGAGUUUCGGAGGGGGCCAGAGAAUUCCCGGUGUAGAGGUGAAAUUCGUAGAUAUCGGGAGGAAUACCAGUGGCGAAGGCGCUGGCCUGGACGGUAACUGACGCUGAGGCGCGAAAGCGUGGGUAGCAAACAGGAUUAGAUA